Molecule: long non-coding RNA, 5763 nt
Organism: Nomascus leucogenys (northern white-cheeked gibbon)
Lineage: Eukaryota; Metazoa; Chordata; Mammalia; Primates; Hylobatidae
Exons: 2
Source: RefSeq, a predicted model, not a curated record
GGGAAUCUUCUCAUUAACUGCCCAGCAAUUGUGGCCACUGGAGACUGGGAGAAAUGCCUGGCAAAUGCAAGAACUCUUCUUCGAUUCAUCCCCAACUUGGUUGUGUCUGUCAGACAUUGCCCUGGAGUCCGUGGUAUGGAGUUGCGGCUUUUACUAGUUUCAUUAUAGACAGCUUGUUGUUCAACUUUUGGAUGUGUGGGUCAGAGGGCAGGAGCGCUUAUAUAAACAUGCGUUUAUUCUGCCAUCUUUUCAGCAGUCCAGAUGCUUAAACAUUGACUUUGAAGCUAAUGUCCUUCAUAAUCUACAUUUGAGCAAACAGAAGGAAGCAAUACUGCCAGCAAGAAAGGACGAUUAACAACUUAAUCAAUACGGGAUUUUUGUUUACUGUUCUGUGUGGAAAGAUAACUUUUAAGUCAAGUUCCUGUCUCAUUGAUUAGAGAUAUCAGUACCUUCUGGUUUGAAAAUAGAGGACAUAUGACAUUUUAAUGAAUUUAAGUUAUCAGCCAUUGACAAUUAUUAGUUAGCUGAUUAAAUAGGAUAGAAUACUCCAAACUAGCACAUCACCAGAGUUACCAAGAGACGCCUAAGCUCUUCUUUAUGAACAGGUUGUUGGUGGAGCUGUGCCACUGAGGUGGAUUAACAUCUCUGACACCUUAACUGUGCCACAGGUUUUCUUACCUGUCUUUUCAAUCAACCCAUUUUAAAAUUUAGUUCAUCAAGAAAGAGAAAGGUGUUCAGUCUUCAUCAGGAUUCCUUUUGGUUUCUCAUGAAUAUAUAUUCACAUGGUUUGGAGACCUUGGAACCCACCACCAAAGCACGCUGAGUUAAUGUUUUGAAAGUGCAUUCGUAGGUAGAUCCUGGGGCUGGGGUUUUAUUUGGCCUGUUUGUAGAAUUGAAGCCUCCUUGCCUCAGUGGUCAGUACAUCCCACCAGACAUCCAGCAGCAAGCUUUCGUCACCUUCAGAGCUCUGGCAUAAUGAUCAAGGAGCACUAGUGACAGCCUUGCUGUAUGCACCAAGCUCCACCCUGGGCAGUGCCUUUCCCUAACGUCUGUCCUGGUGUGAAAUGGAGACUUGAAGACCGGCACCCACAUGUAAGAGAGGUUAAUGAAGGGAGGGUGGCAGAGGAGUCAUGUGAAGGAAAGCUACCUUUAGUCCUCCAUUGCAAUACUGUCCAGUGUCUCCAGUGUGCUAGAAACUGUGCUGAAUGCUGGGCACGUGGCAGGGGUCAAAGCAGACAGAAAUCCCUGCCUCAUGAACCCACUUUCUUUUAGGGGAGACAGACUAGAAACACAAAAAGGACAUUGAAUAGUACAAUUGAGAGAUGAGUCCUAUGGAGAAAAAUCCAGCCAGAAAGGGAGAUGCAGGAGAUAGCACCAGAUCUUCUCGAUGUUGUUUUCAUCAUGGACAGAUGCGUUCCUUAGAAGAUGAAGUGCUAGUGAUUCCUGACUUUUUCUCACCUUCACAUCGAUUGAUCUGAAUUUGGAGAGUCUGUUUUCUGUGCCUGGCUCUGCACUCAACUCUGCAGGGGACCCUGUCGAGGUCCCCACACUGUGGCUUCAGGUAGACAGAGCGGAUGGGAGCCCAUUUCAGUUCAUUGUCUUGCUGACCAACGGGGAACUGUGGUCAGGACUUCAGAACUCAUUAUUUGAAUAGAAGUUUAAAGCAUCUGGAUGAUGAUGCUGUAGCUAAAACAGCUGCUUGUCAGAAGAGACCCUGUUUAACACUUCUAAACUUGUUUUAGAGGUGGAGGAAAGGAUAAUCUGGGAAGGCCUCCAUCUCAAGUCCACAGGUUGGUAUCAGCUGUGUUCAUCCCCGAAAAGGAAAAUAAAAUGACAACAAUAUUUUGGUCACAGAAUUCCUGAGAAACCUUGUUUCUACCUUUCUGUCUCUAAGAUAGGGACAUGAAUUCCCCAUGAUCUGGGUGAUAGGGUUAGGGCGGCCAGGACACUGUUACUUUGUGUGUGACACAGGUGGCUCCUCAUGACAGUUCCUCCAUACCUUAGAACAUGUUGUCUGUCUGGUCAUCCCUGGGGGUAGAGCUGAGUGACCCAGCAGUGGGAGAUUUAAUGACUGGAGAAGAUGAUGGGAUGUGUUUAAUUAUCCCCAGGGGUAGGGCCAAUUUGUCACCCUUUAAAUAAACGUAUUUGCAUAUAAACUAAAGCACCUUAGGGCAUCAUUACGGAAAGUGUCUAAGCUAAGCAAAUGUCUGAUACAGUUAUGUGCCUGCAUUAAAAGAAAGCAGCCCCUUUAUCUUGCCUUAAUAUCCUUACAGUGUUUUAGUAAGUUCAUAAUGCAUCCUGUAUGUGCAUUUUUUGGCAUAAAACACUGAAAGGUGGAGAAUUGACUUCAGUUCUCUCCAUCCUUUCCCCUUAAGUGUUGGUGGCGCUGCAGGGGCAGCAUGCCUCCCAUUGGAAGUGGUGACUUCCUCUUUGAUAGAGGUUUGCCUGUCUCUUGAAAAUGAAAAGAAGCAGAGAUUGAUCUCUGGAGUCCCAUGGUCCAGUUUGGACUAUUCGGAAUAUUUUUUAUGGGAUGUUAAAAACAAUAUUAGAGACGUGAGAUAGUAAAUUUGUGGUAAUACCGGAUCCAGGAAGCUUACAGUGAAGAGUAUGAACUUAACCUGAAAAGUAUUUCUCUGUUCUAUAAAUCUCUCAGUGACAUUUGGAUUAAUCAAGCAUAAUUAAAUGUAGUUAGAUUUUUGUCAGAUUGUAGUUCAAAAUAAUAUUCAUCUAUGGAGAGGGUAAUAUAUUCUGUAGAAAUUUUAUUAAGCACUUUAGUUAAGCAAACACUAAGGAGAACAAAAUCAACCUCAGGAAGGUUAAUUACUAAAAAAAUCACAAAGUAUAGUAGAUUAUGUAAAUCGUUUUAAUUUUGAAUACCAUGGCUUGAGCUUUAAUUUACAUAGAGAGGUAUUUUGGAUUUGUUUUUCACAUUAUAUUUUCUAGUACAGGAUUGCAAUUGCAUUCUUGAAAAGUUCUACUCAUUUUAGGAUUCCAUUAAGUUUGCUUAACUUUUUUCAUGUUACAAUUUCCAAAAGCAAAGAAUUACAAUUGUAUUCUAGCUAAUUAUUUUAAUGUUUCACUAACUUUGUGUAUAUUGUAAGACCAUAUUUUUAUUUCUAUACAAAUGAUGAUUUUAAGAGAAGUAUCAGGAGAGAGAAUGUAUAUGAAAGCAUCGCGCCCACGCCUGGCCUUGCAAUAAGUGUUCAUUUAAAAGAAACACAUUUACAAAGGUAAAACAUAAGAGUUUAGACUAUAGCGAUAAAUCUUUUUAUUUUAGUAAUUUCUUUAAAGGGAAAAGUAAAGAGAUCAAAAUGAUUUUAUAUGUAUUUUUUUUGUACUCAGAGAAUUACAUUUUCACUACCCCCGCCUGUCUCAGGGAAUAGCCUUUGAUAAGAGUCCCAUGGAAAUCUCUGGAACUCUGUUACAGUGUGUUCAGAUUUGUUAGUUCCUAUGUAAAUUUCAGAGAUAGAGCUUCAAAACUAGAGUAUUGUAAUCUCAGGAACAUAAGAUUAUCCAAGAAGCCUGAACCUUGCUCUUUUCAUGAUAAAUGACAUCCAAAUUUCUUUUGUCUAGGAGAUAAGCAUAGAUCCCUUUUAUCACGCUUCUCUGAGAUUUUCACAGAAAAACUCUGCAAUUUGAUUUUGUUUGAUAAUUUUGCUUUUUGGCUUUUCAGUGACGACUCUAUUUUCCAUUGGAACUGACUCCUUUGGGGAUAAUAAGCUUUCACUUAAAAGAACAUUCCAUUAGAUAGUUCUAAGUUCAAUGAACCUAAAAGUGGCUACUUAAUUUGAGUAAUCUGGAUAACUUUUGCAAAUGGGUCAAAACAGCACAAGUAUCAACAAUCACGUAUGUACUGAGUAAUAUUUGCCCUCCAGUUAGCAAAGUCAAGAAAUGUCUAACUGGCACAUAGCACUGGUUUUAACUACUCUUUAGUUCAUCUUUGCCUUCCAAAUUGGUUGAAAAUGGCAAGCUUAGAAUGGAAUGCAUAUGAAUAACAGAACCACUUAAUGUUUUAAAAUAUUCAUACCUUGAGAUUCUUUUUGAGAGAAAAAAAAAGAAUCUUAACAUCCAAUUCUAGUUGUUUUGGCUUUUCACAUAUACUAGACAUGAAAAAGGCAGUUACAAAAGUGAAAUCCGAUUGGAAGUCAGUGGUGUCCGCCAUUGAGCCGUGCUAAAUGUCGUGUCACAAAAGGAGUUUGUGAAAACAGGAUGAGUAGAAAAUAUUAUACUGUUGUUUCUAUCGCGGCACCGCUUUUUUAUAAAUUCCAUUUGCUUUUUGUCAUCUGAACUGUUACAACCAUGGGAAACCUCAGUCCAUAUUUUUAAAAGCACUAUAUACUUACAGGAAAAACCGACUUAUGCCUUCAUUGAAAAAGUUGAAGUUAAUAUCCCAAAUGUUUAAUGAGCAUGUUUUAGAAUAUUUACAGCUAAAGUCUGUCACUUUAGGGAUUUGACAAAACUUGAGACUGCCUGCCGCUGAAGAGGGACCAGGCAGAAUCUUCUCAGCCUUGUAACCAGCGUUAAAAAAAUAUAAGGGGCUUGAUGAGAUCCUAGAUCUGCUCCUUUUCUCCUAGGUGCCUGGGUAACUCCUGGGGAAAGCAUCACAUUAAGUCCUUUGGUAUCAUGCUUUUCAAGCAAGGUAUGUGAUUUUGACCAAUUAAUUGUGCAUCUAUUUAAAAAUUACCAAGUGUAUCUUGACUCUUGAGUGGACAGUCAAGGCAAAGUUUACUUAGGAGAUAUAAAGUAUGGAGGUUUUAAAAAAUUCAAAUUGACUUUAUUCACUGUUGGAGGAAUUGAAUUCUAUUGCCUCCCUCAUUUCCAUUAUGUUCAUUGUUACAAUUGUGAUGCUCUGUUCUCAUUGUGAUGCUCAGUUCUUGUGUAGAACUGAGUGCUACACUCUGAUUAGAAACUGGAGUUGUGCUUGAGUCAGUCCUGGAAAACAGGACCCAUUUUUAAGAAGAACGAGCAUACCACUUUGGCAUUCUGGCUGACCCUAAUUUCCGCACAGUUCCUUGGUGUUAAAAUCAUUUGAGGUCAUAAUUGCUGCUUAUGGUUUAUAUACACACCAUCUGCUGCUCUAAGUUCACAUCCUCUCAAAAGUAUGCAAGUGCUUGAAAUUUAAAUAUUUCCCAGAUCUACAACAACUUGUGACUACCUAAGAAAUGCUUGAACCAAAUAAGAAACAGCACUGUGGAAUAAAAUAUACCAUUGUGAACAUAUCUGAUGCUGCAAUGAAAUGUAAAGUUCCUUACUUUGCUGAUUUUUCAUCAUAACUCCUUGACUCAUAAAAGCGGUGUCUAAACUGGGAACAGCUGCUAAUAGAGUAAAAGUAUUAUACAUGAAAUAAAAGUUCAUUACAAUAUUUGUACUCAUAAGUCAAAAUCUGACCUGGUUCGCUUUGUGCCUCUGUCAGCCUACUUACAGUGAUAAACGUACACACAAGUCCAGUGUUCCCAAGGAGCUUUGUUUAUAGAAAGAAGCUCGGUCCCCUCAGUUCUAUGCUGUUCUGUGGCCUGGUUGGUACACGCCGUCAUGAUGAAGGAUGACUUUGGUUUGAGAUAAUUUGUCACUCCACAUUCCAUGGAGAAAAGUGUUUCAUUUUGAUGGUUGGAAAAACAUGACCAGAGAAGUGUGUGACUCAGAUAACGUUCUGCGAAAGUUGCAGAGCAAUCUGUGGUGUCUGUCAUAGCCCAACUAGUCCUGGAGCACAUGGACAAUUCUGUACCCCAAUAAUCAGAACAAUAAAAUGGUAGCUGUGAUUCA